UACGGGGGGGGCAAGCGUUGUUCGGAAUUACUGGGCGUAAAGGGCUCGUAGGUGGCCAACUAAGUCAGACGUGAAAUCCCUCGGCUUAACCGGGGAACUGCGUCUGAUACUGGAUGGCUUGAGUUCGGGAGAGGGAUGCGGAAUUCCAGGUGUAGCGGUGAAAUGCGUAGAUAUCUGGAGGAAUACCGGUGGCGAAGGCGGCAUCCUGGACCAACACUGACACUGAAUCGCGAAAGCUAGGGGAGCAAACGGG
RNAcentral lists this ribosomal RNA (253 nucleotides) under uncultured bacterium. RNAcentral describes it as "partial 16S ribosomal RNA". It matches the Rfam family "Bacterial small subunit ribosomal RNA", at positions 524 to 776 of the family's 1533-position model. The record is from RNAcentral.